UCUUUUUUUUUCGUACUAGUCUCUCUCUCUCUCUCUUCUCUUUCUCUCUGUUUGCGUAUUCUCUCUCUCUGCUCUCUCAUUCUCUUCUCUUUCUCUCAUCUCGCUCUCGCUCUCUCUCCACUUCGAUUCUCGGCCGCCGGAGGCCGAGGAGUCUAUCGCUAGGCUGUUAGAAGACGAGAGAGAUCUAGCGCCGUCGAUCGACCGAUC
This 207-nucleotide long non-coding RNA is filed under the name Salvia miltiorrhiza (redroot sage). RNAcentral describes it as "long non-coding RNA (SMIL_LNC013807)". Lineage: Eukaryota; Viridiplantae; Streptophyta; Magnoliopsida; Lamiales; Lamiaceae. The record is from RNAcentral.